GGAAGAUUGAAGUAUUCACAAACAAAAAACACAUGUCAGUGCACAUUCAGCGCACUGGAUCAUCCAGACCUCUUAGGAUGGACGUGGGCCUCGGCUUUGCUACUGUGGCUGUGACGGACGAGAAGCGAAUUGGUCCAUCAGCUUUCCAACAACAACAACAACAGACAGUGAAUGGCGAGUAAAGUACAGCGAAGACUUGGUUAGCGCGCUGAUUAGUCGACAGGCUGUGCGGUUCGGUCAAUCAAGUACGCCUCAAAACUGCUCAUUUAAGGCUCUCGGUUCGAGAUGACGUUUUCAGCAAUCCCCACCGGAGAGAACACAUCCAAGAAGAGAUCUCAUGUUUCUAUCUUUUGUUGUUGUAACACGAAGAUGAGACCAGGGAAUUUCCUCCAUACGUGUCAAAAUCAGCUGAAGACAGCAUCCACAAACAUUCCCACAACCCUUUCGCUUUCCGGAGGAGCGGCGGGGGCCAGAGGUUGGAGGAGGACCUGUCUGAAGCGUCACUACCUCCAUUCCUCAUGGCUACAUCUGCCAGAGCCUCCUCCCACCUGUCUGAUGCUGCUUAGAUUUAUGUGGCUGUAUAGGAAGGAGGCCAAUCCAGUGUGCCAGGCCACGUGUAGGCUUCCCUUUACGCUGACAGUUGUGUGUAUGAUACUGUAGCCGGCUCCCAGUGAGGCUCAGCCCACUAUAUCUGAAAUCUGUCAUAAGUGAAAGCUUGAAAAGGUUAGGACAGUUCAGGGAAGAUAAAUGGUGAAUUGGGAGGACAGCUCCUUCUCCCACUACGCACAGAUGCAGAGUUCCUCCCCGUACGCGCUACACAACAGGCGGGCCGGACCGUGCAAGUUUCUACCGAGCAGGCCGUUCACGUGAGCCACUCUAUUACUCUCAUCAAAACAAAUUAUAACGGAUGGUUAUUGGGUUUUCACAAUGUCUUUUGUAUAAUAAAGCUCGUUAACUGCAUUGGGCAAAACAAAUGGGCAGAAUAAUCCGUAUGGUUAUUGACAUUGUGUCAUUUCCAGUUAGCGCAGGAAGAGGACUCUCACUGUGGCUCCGGGCUUCGCCUUCCAUCUCUCAAGAGGAAGAGCACUAAUGGCUUUUGAAAGCCAGGAUCGAAGGAACUCAUGAGGCUCUGCAGCAUGAGACAAGAGGAGGAAGAGCAUUAUUAAUCCUUGUUCAUCUGAAUACACAACGCUCUGUGCUGCACAACGCUCUGUGCUGCACAGCGCGCAGCCUCCAGACCAGCAUCCUGCUGCCUCUCGUUAACUGAUUGUCGAUGUUGUUCUUUGUGGACACAGACCUAAAUAUUUAGGUUAUGAAGUUAAGAAGUGGGCUGAAUUUACAGCACAGCCAAAAAGUUUUUCAGACACAUCACAAUUUCAGACAAGGAAAGAAACAUCCAGUAAAAUUAUAUUGCUACAAUGAACUGUCUCCUGUUGCAAGCUUACAGAAACCUCACCAAAAGAGUUUCCAUUUUUCAAUUUAAGGUCUUUUACAUGGAUGUCAAUAUAUAUUGUUAUUGUCACGAACACACGCGCACAAAAUUGGAAUAUUACAAUGCAAAAAUCGUCAUUUCGAUUUACAAACAAAAUUUAGCCAAUCACAUUAUCUGGAACUGGUUGUGUUGGGCAAAAAUGGAUCCAAUACCAACCUCCUUUUCAGUCUAUGACAUCAAACUUUGUUGCACAGCGAAUACCAGAUCGACCACUUCCAUUCUUCCCUUUCACAA
Molecule: long non-coding RNA, 1726 nt
Organism: Gasterosteus aculeatus aculeatus (three-spined stickleback)
Lineage: Eukaryota; Metazoa; Chordata; Actinopteri; Perciformes; Gasterosteidae
Source: Ensembl